CAGUAACGGCGAGUGAAGCGGCAACAGCUCAAAUUUGAAAUCUGGCUCCUUCGGGGUCCGAAUUGUAAUUUGUAGAGAGUGCUUCGGGCGAAACCUCGGUCUAAGUCCAUUGGAACAUGGUGUCAUAGAGGGUGAGAAUCCCGUAUGCGACCGUGGCUCGAGCCCAUGUGAAGCCUCUUCGACGAGUCGAGUUGUUUGGGAAUGCAGCUCAAAAUGGGUGGUAAAUUUCAUCUAAAGCUAAAUACUGGCUGGAGACCGAUAGCGCACAAGUAGAGUGAUCGAAAGAUGAAAAGCACUUUGGAAAGAGAGUCAAACAGUACGUGAAAUUGUUGAAAGGGAAGCGCUUGCAACCAGACCUGCCCGUAGGCGAUCAGCCGCUGUCCUCAGCGGUGUACUCGCUCUGCGAUCAGGCCAGCAUCGGUUUCGGCGGUCGGAUAAAGACCUUGGGAAUGUAGCUUCCCUUCGGGGAAGUCUUAUAGCCCUCGGUGCAAUGCGGCCAGCCGGGACCGAGGACCGCGCUUCGGCUAGGAUGCUGGCGUAAUGGUUGUAAGCGACCCGUCUUGAAACACGGACCAAGGAGUCUAACAUCUAUGCGAGUGUUUGGGUGUCAAACCCAUACGCGGAAUGAAAGUGAACGGAGGUGAGAACCCUCAAGGGCGCAUCAUCGACCGAUCCAGAUGUCUUCGGAUGGAUUUGAGUAUGAGCAUAGCUGUUGGGACCCGAAAGAUGGUGAACUAUGCCUGAAUAGGGUGAAGCCAGAGGAAACUCUGGUGGAGGCUCGCAGCGGUUCUGACGUGCAAAUCGAUCGUCAAAUUUGGGUAUAGGGGCGAAAGACUAAUC
RNAcentral lists this ribosomal RNA (840 nucleotides) under Xanthoparmelia lavicola. Its description in RNAcentral is "eukaryotic LSU rRNA". It matches the Rfam family "Eukaryotic large subunit ribosomal RNA", at positions 81 to 936 of the family's 3401-position model. The record is from RNAcentral. Lineage: Eukaryota; Fungi; Ascomycota; Lecanoromycetes; Lecanorales; Parmeliaceae.